CUUGUACUCCCUCCGUCCGAAAAUACUUGCAUUGAAAUGGAUAUAUCUAGAUGUAUUUUACUUCUAGACACAUCCAUUUUGAUGACAAGUAAUUCCGGACGGAGGGAGUACUUG
Molecule: non-coding RNA, 114 nt
Organism: Triticum aestivum (bread wheat)
Lineage: Eukaryota; Viridiplantae; Streptophyta; Magnoliopsida; Poales; Poaceae
Source: Rfam